AGCACUUUCAGUGGGGAGGAGGGUUGACUGGUUAAGAGCUGAUUAAUUGGACGUUACCCACAGAAGAAGCACCGGCUAACUCCGUGCCAGCAGCCGCGGUAAUACGGAGGGUGCGAGCGUUAAUCGGAAUUACUGGGCGUAAAGGGUGCGUAGGUGGUUUGAUAAGUUAUCUGUAAAAGCCCUGGGCUCAACCUGGGAAGGCCAGAUAAAACUGUUGGGCUGGAGUAUAGGAGAGGGUAGUGGAAUUUCCGGUGUAGCGGUGAAAUGCGUAGAGAUCGGAAGGAACACCAGUGGCGAAGGCGGCUACCUGGCCUGAUACUGACACUGAAACACGAAAGCGUGGGGAGCAAACAGGAUUAGAUACCCUGGUAGUCCACGCUGUAAACGAUGUCAACUAGCUGUUGGUCAUAUGAAUGUGAUUAGUGGCGCAGCAAACGCGAUAAGUUGACC
RNAcentral lists this ribosomal RNA (450 nucleotides) under Legionella taurinensis. RNAcentral's name for it is "bacterial SSU rRNA". It matches the Rfam family "Bacterial small subunit ribosomal RNA", at positions 429 to 870 of the family's 1533-position model. The record is from RNAcentral. Lineage: Bacteria; Pseudomonadati; Pseudomonadota; Gammaproteobacteria; Legionellales; Legionellaceae.